This 466-nucleotide ribosomal RNA is filed under the name uncultured Bacteroidota bacterium. Its description in RNAcentral is "bacterial SSU rRNA". It matches the Rfam family "Bacterial small subunit ribosomal RNA", at positions 9 to 469 of the family's 1533-position model. The record is from RNAcentral. Lineage: Bacteria; Pseudomonadati; Bacteroidota.
GAGUUUGAUCAUGGCUCAGGAUGAACGCUAGCGGCAGGCUUAACACAUGCAAGUCGAGGGGUAACAGAGGUAGCUUGCUACUUGCUGACGACCGGCGCACGGGUGCGUAACGCGUAUACAAUCUACCUUUUACUGGAGAAUAGCCUUUGGAAACGAAGAUUAAUACUCCAUAGUAUUAUUGACUGGCAUCGGUUUAAUAAUUAAAGUUUCGGCGGUAAAAGAUGAGUAUGCGUUCUAUUAGCUAGAUGGUAAGGUAACGGCUUACCAUGGCUACGAUAGAUAGGGGUCCUGAGAGGGAGAUCCCCCACACUGGUACUGAGACACGGACCAGACUCCUACGGGAGGCAGCAGUGAGGAAUAUUGGACAAUGGAGGCAACUCUGAUCCAGCCAUGCCGCGUGCAGGAAGACUGCCCUAUGGGUUGUAAACUGCUUUUAUAUGGAAGAAUAAGUGCUACGUGAGCACGA